UUUAACAUAACAUUAUUAAUGUAAAUGAACUAACCUGUAUCUCCCUCUCCAUAUUCUGCCAUAGAAUCAGUAUCAGAUUCAGGAUGCUUUCCAUCUUGAUGGGAAGAAGAUGCCAGAGAAGCGCGACCGCCUGCUGAUUUGGUAUCUAAAGGUUGCGAAUAUUCAUGAAAACCGCCUUCAUCUGGAUAAUCGCCGCGCCCAGCAGCUAAUUCUCUUUCAUGUACGGCGUAUUUUCCACCUCUAUUACGUUUAAUAACGCAUACUAUUAUAAGUACCAAAAGAAGAAAGGCAAUUGCUAACAUCAUUCCUAUGAACCAUCCAGCGGUUGCGACAUUUUCUUUAGGCUGAAUGAUAGGUCCUUCGCUACUCGUUUCUACUUCUUGUGGUUCGCUUUCUGUGAAGUAGUUACCAUCAACAGCAACGACAGACAUCACAUAAACUUCACCACUUUGAAGUCCUCGAAUUUCGAUCGUGUUCGAUUGAUAUUCUGGUUCGGUUUGGAGUGGUAUCGUUUCACCUUUGAGUUUAUACUUUACAAAAAAGUGACUUCCUGGAUUCCCAUUGAGAUUCAGCUGCCAGAUAAUUCUUACAUUCGAGUAUCCAUUUUCCUUAGGAAUAGCUUCCCAUGUGAAUUGUGGUAUAUCAGGUCGUUGAGAUGUGCGUGUUUUUUGCUCGAUGAAGUAACUAAUUGUUGCUCGAACAUGUACACGAUAUUUCGUAUCAGGUGCUAGAGCAGCCAAUUUUGCACUGGUGGCUUCUGGAUCUAUAAUAUGUGGUUUUCUCUCCAAGAGAGGUCCCAGUCUGGUUCCAUUUACGGAUUCAUAAUAUAUUCUGUAGCCAGUCAAGAUACCAUUUGGUUCGGCAGGUUUUGUCCAUGCUAAAAACAAAGCACUGGAACCCAUUGGGAACGCCUCAAGAUUGAGGACUGUUCCUGGGACACCUUCUGGUGUGUCAAAGCUUAAAGUUUCA
Molecule: unclassified non-coding RNA, 969 nt
Filed under: Bombus terrestris (buff-tailed bumblebee)
Lineage: Eukaryota; Metazoa; Arthropoda; Insecta; Hymenoptera; Apidae
Description: misc RNA ENSBTSG00005034245.1
Source: RNAcentral